GACGAACGCUGGCGGCGUGCUUAACACAUGCAAGCCGAACGGUGAAGCGCCUUCCUUUUUGGUGGGUGUGGAUGAGUGGCGAACGGGUGAGUAACACGUGAGUAACCUGCCCCCUUCUUCUGGAUAACCGCAUGAAAGUGUGGCUAAUACGGGAUAUUCUGGGUCUGUCGCAUGAUGGGUCUGGGAAAGAUAUUGUUUCGGUGGGGGAUGGGCUCGCGGCCUAUCAGCUUGUUGGUGGGGUGAUGGCCUACCAAGGCGGUGACGGGUAGCCGGCCUGAGAGGGUGGACGGUCACACUGGGACUGAGACACGGCCCAGACUCCUACGGGAGGCAGCAGUGGGGAAUAUUGCACAAUGGGCGCAAGCCUGAUGCAGCGACGCCGCGUGAGGGAUGGAGGCCUGCGGGUUGUGAACCUCUUUCGCCAGUGAAGCAGGCCUGCCUCGUUUGUGGGUGGGUUGACGGUAGCUGGAUAAGAAGCGCCGGCUAACUACGUG
Molecule: ribosomal RNA, 494 nt
Filed under: uncultured bacterium
Lineage: Bacteria
Description: partial 16S ribosomal RNA
Rfam family: Bacterial small subunit ribosomal RNA
Source: RNAcentral